UGUUCAGUAAGCUGUUGAGUU
Molecule: unclassified non-coding RNA, 21 nt
Filed under: Dictyostelium discoideum
Lineage: Eukaryota; Evosea; Eumycetozoa; Dictyosteliales; Dictyosteliaceae
Source: RNAcentral